This 159-nucleotide ribosomal RNA is filed under the name Helotiales sp. Its description in RNAcentral is "partial large subunit ribosomal RNA". It matches the Rfam family "Eukaryotic large subunit ribosomal RNA", at positions 99 to 261 of the family's 3401-position model. The record is from RNAcentral. Lineage: Eukaryota; Fungi; Ascomycota; Leotiomycetes; Helotiales.
CGGCAAUAGCUCAAAUUUGAAAUCUGGCCUUCUGGCCCGAAUUGUAAUUUGUAGAGGAUGCUUCGAACGUGGUCUGGUCUAAGUUCCUUGGAACAGGACGUCAUAGAGGGUGAGAGCCCCGUCUGGUUGGAUGCCGAGCCUCUGUAAAGCUCCUUCGAC